GACGAACGCUGGCGGCGUGCUUAACACAUGCAAGUCGAACGGAAAGGCCCUGCUUUUGUGGGGUGCUCGAGUGGCGAACGGGUGAGUAACACGUGAGUAACCUGCCCUUGACUUUGGGAUAACUUCAGGAAACUGGGGCUAAUACCGGAUAGGAGCUCCUGCUGCAUGGUGGGGGUUGGAAAGUUUCGGCGGUUGGGGAUGGACUCGCGGCUUAUCAGCUUGUUGGUGGGGUAGUGGCUUACCAAGGCUUUGACGGGUAGCCGGCCUGAGAGGGUGACCGGGCACAUUGGGACUGAGAUACGGCCCAGACUGCUACGGGAGGCAGCAGUGGUGAAUAUUGCACAAUGGGCGGAAGCCUGAUGCAGCAACGCCGCGUGCGGGAUGACGGCCUUCGGGUUGUAAACCGCUUUCGCCUGUGACGAAGCGUGAGUGACGGUAAUGGGUAAAGAAGCACCGGCUAACUACGUG
RNAcentral lists this ribosomal RNA (468 nucleotides) under uncultured bacterium. RNAcentral's name for it is "partial 16S ribosomal RNA". It matches the Rfam family "Bacterial small subunit ribosomal RNA", at positions 28 to 507 of the family's 1533-position model. The record is from RNAcentral.